RNAcentral lists this ribosomal RNA (253 nucleotides) under uncultured bacterium. RNAcentral's name for it is "partial 16S ribosomal RNA". It matches the Rfam family "Bacterial small subunit ribosomal RNA", at positions 524 to 776 of the family's 1533-position model. The record is from RNAcentral.
UACGUAGGGACCAAGCGUUGUCCGGAAUCAUUGGGCGUAAAGCGCGCGUAGGUGGCUUCGUAAGUCCGUUGUGAAAGUCAAAGGCUCAACCUUUGAAAGCCGAUGGAUACUGCGGAGCUAGAGUACGGAAGAGGCGAGUGGAAUUCCUGGUGUAGCGGUGAAAUGCGUAGAUAUCAGGAGGAACACCUGCGGUGUAGACGGCUUUCUGGACCAUUGCUGACGCUGAGACACGAAAGCGUGGGUAGCAAACAGG